UUAUUUGAAAUAAUAAAUUUUAUAAAAAUAUAUCAUAUUAGUAUAAAUCAUUAUUUCUCGUUGUGAGUCUAUACGGAAUAGUUUUAAUGUAAGACUUAUAUUUUUACCACUUGCUAGGUUUUGUAAAACGGGCUUAUAGAGAGUAAUAAAGUGCCAGCACUAGCGGUCAAACUUUUUCUUAAAAUAAUGUUAUCAGGGACGAUUUUAUUCUAUAUGGAAGCUUUUACGGAGGUAAAAUUUGUAAAUUCUUAAAUUAGGUUAAAAUAUCAUAAAUUACUUCAAACAAACUAGGAUUAGAUACCCUAUUAUGAGUAACGAAAUUGAUGUCUCUAAUUAGUAAUUGCUAAAUUCAGGAAAGUCAUUUUAUGUGGCGGCUAGAAGUCUAACCAGAGGCAGAUGCGUAUAAACGAAAUUGCACGAACAUCUUACUUUUCUAUCCUUGUACACCGCUGUUGGAAAGUUUGGCUGUAAAGUUAAACUCUAUUUUCAGUAACUGGAAGAUAAAACAAGUCUAGGUGCAGGAUUGAGAAGGAAUCGUGUCUGUCAGUUUAAUGUAAUGGAAAUAGACGUUGAAAUACGUUUAAUUUAGAAUCUGGAAGUAAAGUUCGUUCAUUAUACGGAUUUGAAAUAGAAACUUCAAGUGUACAAAUCGCCCGUCAUCCC
Molecule: ribosomal RNA, 663 nt
Filed under: Pedicinus sp. RS-2008
Lineage: Eukaryota; Metazoa; Arthropoda; Insecta; Psocodea; Pedicinidae
Description: partial small subunit ribosomal RNA
Source: RNAcentral